RNAcentral lists this ribosomal RNA (311 nucleotides) under uncultured bacterium. RNAcentral describes it as "partial 16S ribosomal RNA". It matches the Rfam family "Bacterial small subunit ribosomal RNA", at positions 358 to 661 of the family's 1533-position model. The record is from RNAcentral.
GGAAUCUUCCACAAUGGACGCAAGUCUGAUGGAGCAACGCCGCGUGAGUGAAGAAGGUCUUCGGAUCGUAAAGCUCUGUUGUUGGUGAAGAAGGAUAGAGGCAGUAACUGGUCUUUAUUUGACGGUAAUCAACCAGAAAGUCACGGCUAACUACGUGCCAGCAGCCGCGGUAAUACGUAGGUGGCAAGCGUUGUCCGGAUUUAUUGGGCGUAAAGCGAGCGCAGGCGGAAUGAUAAGUCUGAUGUGAAAGCCCACGGCUCAACCGUGGAACUGCAUCGGAAACUGUCAUUCUUGAGUGCAGAAGAGGAGNU